CUUCAGGGAGCCCAGCAUCAGAGGCCGGUCCUCGCGCUCCUUGCCGUACGUGGCGAGGAGGGCCUGUGCCUC
Molecule: antisense RNA, 72 nt
Filed under: Streptomyces sp. TLI_105
Lineage: Bacteria; Bacillati; Actinomycetota; Actinomycetes; Kitasatosporales; Streptomycetaceae
Description: ASpks TB sRNA
Rfam family: ASpks TB sRNA
Source: RNAcentral